GAACUCUCUCUCCAGGCAAGGCCAGUAGUCAACAUCCACAUGCCAAAGGAUAGAGUCACUGGUCAGCACCAAGGCUAUGGCUUUGUGGAAUUCUUAGGUGAGGAAGAUGCUGACUCAGCCAUAAACAUCAUGAACAUGAUCAAACUCUAUGGGAAGCCAAUACAAGUGAAGAAGGCAUCAGCUCACAGCAAAAACUUGGAUGUGGGGGCCAACAUUUUCAUUGGGAACCUGGACCCAGAGAUCCAUGACAAGUUGCUUUAUGAUACUUUAAGUGCCUAUGGGUUCAUCUUGCAAACUCCCAAGGUUAUGUGGGACCCUGACACAGGCAACUCCGAAGGUCAUGCCUUUAUUAGUUCAGUUUCAUUCGACGCUUUGGAUCCAGCGACUGAGCCAUGAAUGGGCAGUACCUCUAUAACCUCCCCAUCACUGUGGGAGGACACAGAAGGACUCCAAGGGCGAGUGCCAUGGCUCAGCAGCUGAACGACUUGUGGCAGCACAGAACCACUCUCCCAGGCUGACGACCCUCAUCAGCUGUUUGCCGAUGCACCAUCUCCACCCUCUGCGUCCAAUCCUGUGGUAUCAUCUUUGAGGUCUGGGCUUCCUCCUCCAUGCAUGCCUCCUUCUGGCUCUGUCCCACCCCCAGUACUGCCUCCUGGAGCCCUUCCACUCAGGAUAUCCGCAGUCAUGCCCCCCCACCUAUGCCUCCUGGGGCUGGAGGACAUGGUCCCCCAUCAGCGGGAACCCCAGGGGCUGGACAUCCUGGACACGGACACUCACAUCCUCACCCAUUCCCACUGGGUGGGAUGCUCCAUCUAGAGAUGUCUCAGAUGCAGCUGGUCCACCAUAGCCCUCACGGCUUGGGACAGCCCCAUGCUGGGCCCCCUGGCUCUGGAGGGCAGCCAUCACCCCAACCACCACCUGGGAUGCGUCACCCUCAUGCCCCACCCCCACCAGGGGCCUCUGUUUGGCUCUACUGUGGGUCUCCCAGUCCUAUGCCUCCGCAUGGUAUGCAUGGACCUCCUCUACUGAUGCCCCCUAACGGAUGGAUACACUGGCCCUCCAUGACCUCCACCCUAUGGCUACCAGUGGGGGCCGUUCCCUCCACCCAGACCCACUUCCUGGUCUCCAGUUCCCCCUCGAGGCCCACUUCGAGGCCUUCUCCCUCGGUGA
RNAcentral lists this long non-coding RNA (1170 nucleotides) under Bos taurus (domestic cattle). Its description in RNAcentral is "long non-coding RNA NONBTAT006876". Lineage: Eukaryota; Metazoa; Chordata; Mammalia; Artiodactyla; Bovidae. The record is from RNAcentral.